RNAcentral lists this long non-coding RNA (4334 nucleotides) under Populus trichocarpa (black cottonwood). RNAcentral describes it as "long non-coding RNA (PTRI_LNC004289)". The record is from RNAcentral. Lineage: Eukaryota; Viridiplantae; Streptophyta; Magnoliopsida; Malpighiales; Salicaceae.
UAAAGCAACUUGGAGUAAUUAAUUAGUUUGAUGAGAUGGAUAAGGCACUCGAUGAAGAGGCAAAUCAACUGGGACGUAAUUAAGCACAUGUCUGAAGUCCUUUCAAGACAUUAAAAUGCUAUUAAUUUAUACUGCUGAAUCUGGACAUCAACUCUAGAAACUCUGGUUGAACCAAGUAAUGGAAAUGCAGUCACAGAACCUUGAAGUCUUCUGUCGUCUCAAUCGGUAUACAGGAUGUUCAGCUGGAAGCAGACAAUGCUAGUUUUCAGUCAUCAAUGAAGAUGAGAGCACGAAAGAGCAUUUUAUGCGAAAAGGCAACAGAAUUUCCAUGUUUCCUCCCACUCCGACACCUGCCAAAUAGUGAAAAGAAGAGGUGUAAAGCAAAGAUAAAUGGAUGUUGCAGAGAAGGAUUGGUAGAUGAAGCGCAGAGAGUUUUCAGAACUUCCUGCAUUAAUAGAUCAUGAAUGUGGCUGAUUCCUCUACCGUGGGCUUACUUUGAUGCUUCCCAUUCGUGGGGUUUUGUUUUACACUUGUAUUUGAUUUUCCAGAGAGGUUAUAUUACGUAAAUUUUAUAUUACUCAAAGAUGAUAGAAAAAUUCUCUUCUUUAUACUUGUUUCAUAAAUAUUAGUAGUUACGCCUGAGCUUCGGAAAGCCAAAACACACUUCCAAACACAGUCCACAUUCAUUACCAAGCACAACCUUAGGCCUAGUAGUUGAAUGCAUAUCAUGCUUCCUCUUUUUUUCUCCUAAGAAAUUAAAACCCAAAGAAGAAAAAAUCAUUCUUCUAUAAUCUUAUGACUUAUCCUGGUCAAAGAUGGUGGGCAUGCUACGUGUUACUUCAGAUGGAAUCUAGUCUGAAAAGAAUAUUAAUGUAUUUGGAGAGGAUAAGGUUAAAAAAAGGACUGGUGAUCUUGACUAUCACAUUUGAACUUGGCAGGCAAGCAAGCAACUUAGAACAUACCACGAUACCAUGAAUAAUUAGCAUACACACAUGUAACUAUACUUAAGCAAUGACAUCAUAUGGUACUGAUCAUCGUCUUUGAUUACACUGUCAAUCAGCAGCUAUAAAUAGGUGCUACUACCCCAUUUCCUUAUUCACCACAACAGCUUAAGAAAGAGAGAUCGGUUGAGCUAAGAAAAGAUCAUCGCUUUAUUUGGAGAUGGAGGACAGAGUGACUCUAUUGGAUUUCUGGUCAAGUUCAUGGGCAGUGAGAGUGAAGGUUGCCUUGGCAGAGAAGGGGAUAGAAUACGAGUCCAGGGAACAGAACUUGAUAGACAAGUGCCCUCUGCUUCUUGAAAUGAACCCGGUUCAUAAGAUGAUUCCAGUUCUUAUUCACAAUGGGAAGCCCAUUUGUGAGUCACUUAAUAUUGUCCAAUAUAUUGAUGAGGUGUGGAAGGACAAGUCUCCAUUGCUACCCUCGGAUCCUUACCAAAGAUCCCAAGCCAGAUUCUGGGCUGAUUACAUUGACAGGAAGGCGAGUAUUUCAGUACUUGUUUAAUUCGUUUUUUGUUUUUCUCGUGUGUGUGUGCUUAUUGUUUAUUUGAACGCAGAUAUAUAACAAUGCCAAGAAGUUAUGGAAGGAGAAAGGAGAAAAGCAAGAAGAGGUAAAGAGGGAAUUUAUAGAAGGCUUGAAGACUCUUGAAGGAGAGCUUGGAGAUAAGCUUUACUUUGGUGGUGAAAGCUUUGGAUUUGUGGAUGUAGUGCUUGUUCCUGUUACCAGCUGGUUUUACUCUCUUGAGAUAUGUGGGAAAUUUAGCAUUGAGGCUGAGUGUCCAAAGAUCACUGCAUGGAUCAAGAGGUGCAUGGAAAAGGAGAGCGUGUCCAGUUCACUUCCUGAUCCUCACAAGAUCUAUGACUUCGUAUUGCUGCUUAAGCAGAAAAUGGGUAUAGAGUAGGCUGUCAGGCUUUGAAUAAUGAGUGAAGGCAUUCCUGAUAGAAUGCCGGAAGCAAGAAUGGGAAAUGGAAUGAAGUUUGGGGAUGAAAAUAGAUUGAUGUUAUGUAAUAAGUUAUAAAGUUUAGCACUUAAUGCUGAUAAUUUUUGCUGUGAUUAGAGUUUUAAUCCAUUAAUUUGGAAAGUAACUAAGUAUCUGUUUGGAAACGAGGCGGUGUAACCUAUAUUUCCAAAUGAAAAGCAUCAAUUUUAAGUGAAAAACGAAGCCUAAAUUGAGUGCAAAACUUCCAAGCAAUAUGUAGAUGGGCAGAGAUCUCGAACAGAAACAUGGAGUUACAUGUGAAAUCCAGAAAAAGCAAAAUUUAUCGAUUUUUCAUUAAACAAAAAAAAUAGAAAAGAAAAGAAAACAUCAGCUGAGCUUGACACAGUGGACAUUUUCUUAGUCACCAUACUUGUGAAUAAAAGUCGGGCCUCGCCACUAGCCAGGGGCUGCCCUUGUCCUCUUCCCCACCAAAAGUUUUCAAAUCCCUUAAAAAUCUAAAAGUUUUAGGGAGUAACUUGUACAAAAUGGCCCUCCAUAAUCACAAGUACACAUUCUAACCCUCCCAGCAUUAGAACUUUGGAUUCAUCCUUGAUACUUCUGUAUACAAGAACUAAGCUCCUCGGUUUUGGCAGCUACAUUAAGCAGUGAAGCAGCUUCGAGAUUGGGCUGUUCGAAUACAGCAUACAUAUGGUGAAGGAAAACCGGUAUGCAUAUUAACUUUAACUUGCUAAUAUCAUCUUGUUAAGAAAACAAAGUCUUCAGGACCUAAUACACUCUGAUAUUAUCAUGCACGAUUUAUUAAUUAUAUUCAGAUAAAAGUAAUCACUCUGACCCUCUCGAGAUUUGAACGUUAUUCAACUUUUCAUUUAUAGUUUCAGAAAUUACAGAGGGAAAGUGAAACUACAUUCAAGUUUUCGGAGGAGACAGUAAUUUUUCCAUAUAUAUAUUACAUGUUGAGCCACCAUCGGUGUAUAAUUAAUUAAUUAUUAAUUUGCAAGUGCAUGUCUUAAAUAUAAUUAAGGUACUGGUGUAGGUUACAGAUUAAUGAAAAUCGAAUGAUCACCAAGAGCCAUUUGAUUUCUUGCAGCUUCACAAUAUUAUUCGAUCAUAUUUUAGCCUUGUCAAAGAUGGUGUCGUCACUUUCGUAAGCAUGCAUGCUGUUUUAGAUGGUGACAGUAACACAAAUAAUAGAGAAUAUGAAGCAUACUCUAAGGUGGAAAAUGAUAAGCUUAAAAUAAAGAAUAAGCAGCUUUCUCAGGGUUCCUUUUUUCUUCUUGUUGUUUUCAUGACUCCUUAAUUUUUUUAUAUUCCAAAUUCUGAAGGUUGGAUCUAAGCAAUGAAGCCAUGCCUGAUUGUUUACUUGCUUAUCAGCACUAUACAGCUCGAGCUCAAAUUUGUCAAAAAGAUCAACCGCGGAAGAACUGGUCCUGCUUGAUUUAUGGGCAAUGCACUUAGGUACGUCUGGUUAGCAUCUCAGGAUAUAAAAAAAAUACACACAUUAAAAAUAUAUAUAUAUCUCUAAGAAAAUUUUCUAUCUUUAUUAUCUUCGUUUUCUAUGAGAUUUGGUUAAUUACAAGUAUAUAUACAGUAGGAGAUUUGGUUAAUUACGAAGCUGCUACUUCUUGCUUGUUACCUUGUUGUAAUGCAUGAAGAUAUACAGGAAAAGGCUAUGGAGUUAUAAGAGCUAGAGGAAAAAAGGUAAGCAAAAUUAAUUUAAGGCUUGAGGACCCUGGAAAAAGAGCUUGGAGAGAAGCUUGGAAUUUUUUGGUGGGGAGACCAUUGGAUAAAUAGUUAAACAAGAGGUUUUCUCCCAUUCAUAACUUUUUUGAGUUUGAUUACUUUAAUAAUUUAUUUUUUUAACAGUUUGUUUGGAAAAAAAAAUUUACUGUAAUUAAAUUUAAUUGUAGUGUUUAAUUUAAAUUUAAUUGAUAAAUAAAUUGAAUUUAUAUAUUUGAAAAAGAAGUGAAAUCAAUUCAUUUUGUUUCUUACAUUACAUUCAUUUUAUUUCUUCAAAGAUCUUUUUAAAAAAAGAUUGAUAAAUUGGUGUUUUAGAAAAGCUAGUUUUAACAUUUAUCUUCCGAAUGAAACUAAGUUCUUUGCUGCCAAAAGCGCUGUUUCUAUGAAUGAAUGUCCGUAAAGAAACUUGGAGUAAUUAGUUUGAUCAGAUGGAUAAGGCACUCGAUGAAGAGGCAAAUCAACUGGGACGUAAUUAAGCACAUGUCUGAAGUCCUUUCAAGACAUUAAAAUGCUAUUAAUUUAUACUGCUGAAUCUGGACAUCAACUCUAGAAACUCUGGUUCAACCAAGUAAUGGAAAUGCAGUCACAGAACCUUGAAGUCUUCUGUCGUCUCAAUCGGUAUACAGGAUGUUCACCUGGAAGCAUACAAUGUUAGUGCUCC